Molecule: ribosomal RNA, 396 nt
Filed under: uncultured bacterium
Lineage: Bacteria
Description: partial 16S ribosomal RNA
Rfam family: Bacterial small subunit ribosomal RNA
Source: RNAcentral
AUACGGAGGGUGCAAGCGUUAAUCGGAAUUACUGGGCGUAAAGCGCACGCAGGCGGUUUGUUAAGUCAGAUGUGAAAUCCCCGGGCUCAACCUGGGAACUGCAUCUGAUACUGGCAAGCUUGAGUCUCGUAGAGGGGGGUAGAAUUCCAGGUGUAGCGGUGAAAUGCGUAGAGAUCUGGAGGAAUACCGGUGGCGAAGGCGGCCCCCUGGACGAAGACUGACGCUCAGGUGCGAAAGCGUGGGGAGCAAACAGGAUUAGAUCCCCUGGUAGUCCACGCCGUAAACGAUGUCGACUUGGAGGUUGUGCCCUUGAGGCGUGGCUUCCGGAGCUAACGCGUUAAGUCGACCGCCUGGGGAGUACGGCCGCAAGGUUAAAACUCAAAUGAAUUGACGGGG